This is a small nuclear RNA of Mobula hypostoma (lesser devil ray), 102 nucleotides long. The record is from RefSeq and is a predicted model, not a curated record. NCBI's taxonomy places the organism in Eukaryota, Metazoa, Chordata, Chondrichthyes, Myliobatiformes, Myliobatidae.
GUGAAUAACACGACACAUACUAAAACUGAAAUGAUACAGAGAAGAAUAGUAUUGUCCCUGUGAAAGGAUGAUGUACUGAUUCGUGAAGUGUUCUGGUUUUUU